UUUAUGGAGAGUUUGAUCCUGGCUCAGGAUGAACGCUGGCGGCGUGCCUAAUACAUGCAAGUCGAGCGAACAGAUAAGGAGCUUGCUCCUUUGACGUUAGCGGCGGACGGGUGAGUAACACGUGGGUAACCUACCUAUAAGACUGGAAUAACUCCGGGAAACCGGGGCUAAUGCCGGAUAACAUGUUGAACCGCAUGGUUCUACAGUGAAAGACGGUCUUGCUGUCACUUAUAGAUGGACCCGCGCCGUAUUAGCUAGUUGGUGGGGUAACGGCCUACCAAGGCGACGAUACGUAGCCGACCUGAGAGGGUGAUCGGCCACACUGGAACUGAGACACGGUCCAGACUC
RNAcentral lists this ribosomal RNA (348 nucleotides) under Staphylococcus pseudintermedius. Its description in RNAcentral is "bacterial SSU rRNA". It matches the Rfam family "Bacterial small subunit ribosomal RNA", at positions 1 to 338 of the family's 1533-position model. The record is from RNAcentral. Lineage: Bacteria; Bacillati; Bacillota; Bacilli; Caryophanales; Staphylococcaceae.